CAAUAGCGUAUAUUAAAGUUGUUGCAGUUAAAAAGCUCGUAGUUGGAUUUCUGGUGGGAGCGACCGGUCGGCGCUUAACGGCGUGUGCACUGGAGUUGUCUCUUGCCAUCCUUGAGGAGAACGUGUCUGGCAUUAAGUUGUCGGGAUUGGGAUCCUCAUCGUUUACUGUGAAAAAAUUAGAGUGUUUAAAGCAGGCAUUUGCUGUGAAUACAUUAGCAUGGAAUAAUAAGAUAGGACUUUGGUGCUAUUUUGUUGGUUUGCGUACCAAGGUAAUGAUUAAUAGGGAUAGUUGGGGGUAUUCGUAUUCAAUUGUCAGAGGUGAAAUUCUUGGAUUUAUGGAAGACGAACAACUGCGAAAGCAUUUACCAAGGAUGUUUUCAUUAA
Molecule: ribosomal RNA, 384 nt
Filed under: uncultured eukaryote
Lineage: Eukaryota
Description: partial 18S ribosomal RNA
Rfam family: Eukaryotic small subunit ribosomal RNA
Source: RNAcentral